UACGGGGGGAGCAAGCGUUGUUCGGAUUUACUGGGCGUAAAGGGCGCGUAGGCGGCCACCGCAAGUCGAUUGUGAAAUCUCCGGGCUUAACCCGGAAAGGUCAACCGAUACUGCGGGGCUAGAGUGCAGAAGGGGCAACUGGAAUUCUCGGUGUAGCGGUGAAAUGCGUAGAUAUCAAGAGGAACACCUGCGGCGAAGGCGGGUUGCUGGGCUGACACUGACGCUGAAGUGCGAAAGCUAGGGGAGCGAACGGG
RNAcentral lists this ribosomal RNA (254 nucleotides) under uncultured bacterium. RNAcentral's name for it is "partial 16S ribosomal RNA". It matches the Rfam family "Bacterial small subunit ribosomal RNA", at positions 524 to 776 of the family's 1533-position model. The record is from RNAcentral.